GGGCGUAAGGGCUCGCAGGCGGUUUCUUAAGUCUGAUGUGAAAGCCCCCGCGCUCUACCGGGGAGGGUCAUUGGAAACUGGGAAACUUGAGUGCACAAGAGGAGAGUGGAAUUCCACGUGUAGCGGUGAAAUGCGUAGAGAUGUGGAGGAACACCAGUGGCGAAGGCGACUCUCUGGUCUGUAACUGACGCUGAGGAGCGAAAGCGUGGGGAGCGAACAGGAUUAGAUACCCUGGUAGUCCACGCCGUAAACGAUGAGUGCUAAGUGUUAGGGGGUUUCCGCCCCUUAGUGCUGCAGCUAACGCAUUAAGCACUCCGCCUGGGGAGUACGGUCGCAAGACUGAAACUCAAAGGAAUUGACGGGGGCCCGCACAAGCGGUGGAGCAUGUGGUUUAAUUCGAAGCAACUUUAAGAACCUUACCAGGUCUUGACAUCCUCU
This 438-nucleotide ribosomal RNA is filed under the name Bacillus subtilis. Its description in RNAcentral is "bacterial SSU rRNA". It matches the Rfam family "Bacterial small subunit ribosomal RNA", at positions 556 to 992 of the family's 1533-position model. The record is from RNAcentral. Lineage: Bacteria; Bacillati; Bacillota; Bacilli; Caryophanales; Bacillaceae.